This is a long non-coding RNA of Rhododendron vialii, 2957 nucleotides long. RefSeq lists it as uncharacterized. The transcript has 3 exons. NCBI's taxonomy places the organism in Eukaryota, Viridiplantae, Streptophyta, Magnoliopsida, Ericales, Ericaceae. The record is from RefSeq and is a predicted model, not a curated record.
GUUCCGACUCCGGCCCUUCUUUGGGUCAAGUGUCUCAAUUUGUAUUCGAAGCACUCGGCUUGGUUCGAGAACAAAUAGGAUGCGAAAUUUGAACUUUGUUGCUGGAAAAUGAAUUUUGAGUUACUGAAAUUGUGAUUAAGUGCUGGAAAUGUAGUUUUAAGAUUAAAAAAGCCCAGUGUAAGUGCUCGAAUUGGGUGCUGAGAGCUGGUAUGUGCUGAGAUUGAGAUACAGAUGCUGAAAUUACAUUCUUGAAUGCAGAAACUAAGAGUGUAAGUGCAUAAAUUGAAAUUUUAAGUUGGAUUUUGUGUUUUAAGUGGUGGAACAAUAAAAUUAAGAACCUUAGCUUGACUAUUGUGUUACAAAGGGGAUUGUGUGUUUGGUUUUGGUGAUACCGAGUGGUCCGAGUGAUAUAAAGAUAUCCGGGUGCUUUAUAGUUUACAGAAUCUUUGUGCAUUACAAUCUCUGUUGUGUACAUGAAUCUCAUUUAGAAGAACACCCAAUGUUUUGGAUGGCUAGUUAAAAUGGGCAGGGUAAAAAAUGCAGGAAAGACCAAAAGGUUUUCCCUUUGCGGAAUAUGAGACUGAAGAGAUUGCAGACUAUGCUGUCGGGCUUUUCUCUGGCUUGUGACUCUUUACAACAGGACAUUGAAAUUUGCAUUGACGGAUGGGGAAUGCUUCAAUAAGGGUCCCUCUUCCCCCACCUCGUUACAGUGCAGCUUCUACCGGCAAUAGCUCAAAACUAUACAACUUAAGCACUUUUCAGCAAAAUACCCCUCCCUACCCUGGAUACAGCAAUUAAGACUGCUCCAUCUUCAAGUUUUGAUCAGCAUGUUGGCAAAUGUGGAUGUAAUGAUCGUUGGCUUCAAUUUACAAGGAAUGAAAAUGGGAAAAGGAUUGUAGCAGUUUUUGGGAUUUCAGGCUUUUAGAAUUGGUUACCAAGGUGUAUUAUUUUCCAGUUUUUUUUUUUUAAAAAAAAAACAGCUUUUAUUGUCGACAAAUAACUUAGUCACUGAUUGUUUUUUCCCAAUUUUUUUUAAAAAAAAAUCUAUUAUUGCCGACUAAAAAAGUUAGUCGCUGAUUGUUAUUUUUCAGUUUUUUUUUAAAAAAAACAGCUUUUAUUGCCGACUAAGAAUUUAGUCACUAAUUGUUUUUUUCCAAUUUUUUUUUAAAAAAAAUCUAUUAUUGCCGACUAAAAAAGUUAGUCGCUGAUUGUUAUUUUCCAGUUUUUUUUUUUAAAAAAAACUGUUAUUGCAGACUAAACAAUUAGUCGCUGAUGAGUGUUAACAUUCCCCGACAAAAGUUUAGUCGGUGAUAGUCCGAACAUUUACCGACUAAAUUUUAAUUGCCGACUAAACAUGAUAGUCGAUAAAAAAGCAAACUUUAGCCGACUAAAUAUUUUUUAGUCGGCAAAUACAAGACUAAAUAUUUUUUAGUCGGCAAAUGUAUUUGCCGACUCGCUUCCGUCGACCAAACUGACGACUAAAUUAUUUAGUCGGGAAAUUCUUUCGCCGACUAAAAAUGUCACAUUUGCUGACUAAAUGGUUAGUCGGGAAUGGUGAAUUUUCUUGUAGUGAAUGUUGUUUUACUCAUAAACUGUUAUAUAAUGUGAAAUAUUUCCAUGGUCAAUUUUGGUAUACAUAUCUCACCCGAGUUGACUUAUGCAAAAUGUUUUACAUUUUUCCAAGAAAAUAGCAUGUCUAGCCAUCAACUCAUCAAUGCUUGUUGGUGCUAUGUGGACAACCAUAAGUUGCCCAAUGGUUUGUAAUUAUUAUACUUGUACACUUAGAAACUCUGUGAUUAAUUAUGUUAUUUAUUGUACACUUUUGCAUACUUUUUUUGUGUAUAUGCAUGUUUUAAAAUGACGAUGAUGCUAGAAAUUCUUAAACUAGAAUAUAAGAAGGCCUUCAGCAGCUUAACACCCGCUUGGUCGGUCACGACUUCCAAGAUCAAUUUUGAGUUGUGACAAGAGGCAUGCAUGAAAAGAGAAAGAGAUAUUGACGUGGUGGCAGUUUCACAUUAAAACAUUCACAUGAUACUCACGGAGAAAUCCUCUCCCCAGAACAUUUAUAAACAGGAUAAUAUUUGCUCCUUGAUUUCCAACAGCCAAGUAAAAUGGUUGUGUCCUUUAAUUGCCAUUGACAAUAAAAUAAGCUGAAGAUGAGAGCCUCUUAAAUACGUCCUUAUGCCCAUACAUGUUGCUAUCAUAAUCAAGCACCAGUAAUAUUAUUAGAAGAAAUUAUUAGUUUUAAAAUAUGCAAAAUAUCCAACAUGUAUACUUUUCAAGUUGAAUCUUAGCUUUGAUGGAUACAAAGGAAUUUGCAGUACAAAAUAGAUGUCUACUAUAACGGCUUUGUAGUCUUUGAGAUGACAGUUAGUAUUGUUCAUUACAAGGUUACAGUACUCUCUAAAGGACGAUCUGUGUUUUUAGCUCCUUUCAGUUUCAGACACUACCCGACGGGAGGAUGGAGAUCUCCAUGGACUUCUAAUCUCAGCAUUCAUCAAGUAACCUGCAACUCUAACUAUCCUGACUGAAACGCUCUCAUUAUUUGCAUUCACAUCAGCCACUUGAGAUGAGUGAUGACGGCAGUAGUUCCUCAGUAAGUGCCCAAGGAAUAGGAGAAAACAAACAGAGGAAGUGCCAACGGAGAAGAAGAAUAGGCCCCAGAAGCUUCGGAGGCUCAAGCUAUCAACGUUCUCCUCCAUUGUAUUCUCAGUCAUAUUCAGAUAAGAUUUUGAACACACUUUGUUGGGAGUUAACCAAGCCUCUUCUAGGCUUUUCAGAGUCCCGUUCUCUGAGAGUUCGAGAAUGACUUCCGAGACACUAGCAACUAGUGAAGAACCUUUUUGGAAUACCUGCAAAGGAACAUGAAUAUAUGAAGAUAUCUUUGUACAUGCUUUGAAGUCAUCAAAUACUAUGAAAUAAAAGGAAAAGAAACGCCAACAAAAAGGAAAAUUUUU